UACGGGAGGCAGCAGUGGGGAAUUUUGGACAAUGGGGGAAACCCUGAUCCAGCAAUGCCGCGUGUGCGAUGAAGGCCUUAGGGUUGUAAAGCACUUUUGUCAGGGAAGAAAAGAGUUGUGCUAAUAUCAUGACUCGAUGACGGUACCUGAAGAAUAAGCACCGGCUAACUACGUGCCAGCAGCCGCGGUAAUACGUAGGGUGCAAGCGUUAAUCGGAAUUACUGGGCGUAAAGCGUGCGCAGGCGGUUAUAUAAGAUUGGUGUGAAAUCCCCGAGCUCAACUUGGGAACUGCACUGAUGACUGUAUAACUAGAAUAUGAAAGAGGGGGGUAGAAUUCCACGUGUAGCAGUGAAAUGCAUAGAGAUGUGGAGGAAUACCAAUGGCGAAGGCAGCCCCCUGGGUCAAUAUUGACGCUCAUGCACGAAAGCGUGGGGAGCAAACAGGAUUAGAUACCCU
RNAcentral lists this ribosomal RNA (456 nucleotides) under uncultured bacterium. RNAcentral's name for it is "bacterial SSU rRNA". It matches the Rfam family "Bacterial small subunit ribosomal RNA", at positions 340 to 788 of the family's 1533-position model. The record is from RNAcentral.